Molecule: ribosomal RNA, 468 nt
Filed under: uncultured bacterium
Lineage: Bacteria
Description: partial 16S ribosomal RNA
Rfam family: Bacterial small subunit ribosomal RNA
Source: RNAcentral
GACGAACGCUGGCGGCGUGCUUAACACAUGCAAGUCGAACGGAAAGGCCCUGCUUUUGUGGGGUGCUCGAGUGGCGAACGGGUGAGUAACACGUGAGUAACCUGCCCUUGACUUUGGGAUAACUUCAGGAAACUGGGGCUAAUACCGGAUAGGAGCUCCUGCUGCAUGGUGGGGGUUGGAAAGUUUCGGCGGUUGGGGAUGGACUCGCGGCUUAUCAGCUUGUUGGUGGGGUAGUGGCUUACCAAGGCUUUGACGGGUAGCCGGCCUGAGAGGGUGACCGGCCACAUUGGGACUGCGAUACGGCCCAGCCUCCUACGGGAGGCAGCAGUGGGGAGUAUUGCACAAUGGGCGGAAGCCUGAUGCAGCAACGCCGCGUGCGGGAUGACGGCCUUCGGGUUGUAAACCGCUUUCGCCUGUGACGAAGCGUGAGUGACGGUAAUGGGUAAAGAAGCACCGGCUAACUACGUG